AAUUAAUUAUUAUUAUUAGAUUA
This 23-nucleotide small nuclear RNA is filed under the name Arabidopsis thaliana (thale cress). Its description in RNAcentral is "snRNA_13741". Lineage: Eukaryota; Viridiplantae; Streptophyta; Magnoliopsida; Brassicales; Brassicaceae. The record is from RNAcentral.